Camelus ferus (Wild Bactrian camel) is the source of this 72-nucleotide transfer RNA. It matches the Rfam family "tRNA". From Rfam's summary of the family: Transfer RNA (tRNA) molecules are approximately 80 nucleotides in length. Their secondary structure includes four short double-helical elements and three loops (D, anti-codon, and T loops). The record is from Rfam. Lineage: Eukaryota; Metazoa; Chordata; Mammalia; Artiodactyla; Camelidae.
GAGAGUAUAGCUCAGUGGUAGAGCACAUGCUUAGCAUGCAUGAGGUCCUGGGCUCAAUCUUCAGUACUGCCG